RNAcentral lists this small RNA (346 nucleotides) under Histoplasma ohiense. RNAcentral describes it as "hypothetical lncRNA". The record is from RNAcentral. Lineage: Eukaryota; Fungi; Ascomycota; Eurotiomycetes; Onygenales; Ajellomycetaceae.
ACUUGCUCCGGAUUAAUGUUCAAAUGCCCACUACUAUUGACUAACUCAGAUGUCCAAGGACCUCAACUAACUUUAUUGAGUCGCGCUAUUAUCAAACACGGACAUUUGUUCGUCCUGAUUGCAGUUUAAGUCAAAAUGACCGAUAACUCUGGACCGGAACAGGCUAAAGGCAAGGAAGCAAUGGUUGGUGUGGAGGCGGAUGUGAAGACUCUUCAGUUGCUCAGCUCUUCGACCAAGGCUGCAAUUGAUAAGAGAGAAAGGAUUAAGAAUGAAAAAGUCAAGCUCACCCUCGAGGAAGCUAUUCAUAUAGGACUCACAGAGCAGAACCAGAUGGGUUCAAACAAAA